AUUGAAACGGACCGGUUGUGGUAUCUUUUUUUUUUGAUUUUCAUAUAACCUAACCGUGUAUGCCGAAAACGUUUAUUAUUUUUUUGGGGGUAAUCGGAGGAGAAGCUAAAAAUGCGCGUUUUAAUACAUUUGGCGUAACGAUAGAUUUGAAUGACCGCUGCCUCAUCUGCCGAAAAGCCUGCGCGCACUUAUCAAAAUAUGUAUACAAGUCUCUGUGAAAAUUAACUUAUCUUAUAAUUUACACGCGUACACGAAACACGCAAAUAAUUCUAAAUUUAUGACAAACUACACGUAUUUAAAUAAAACGCUUAGACUUUCGUUUUCAUAUUAAUAAAGAAAACAAAUGUAAUACACUCGACGUCACUAUAAUGCCAUAGGUACGACGCGAUGAAGUACUGACAUAAUAAUACGGACUUUAAUUUUAAAUAAAUUCGUUUAAAAAAAAGUUGUUUUACGGGUAGUUUUUUUUUUUUUUUAAUUCUGGUAUACCUACUCAACUUUAUCAUAUUUACGCUGUUGUUCGGUCUAUUAUUUUCAAGUUGAUACUAUUGAUUGUAACCAUCUCCAGUGGCGUAAUUUGGGCUACGUUUUGGAGGCCAAUUUUUUGAAAAUUAUAUAAAAAAGGAUGCUACGCAUUUAUUAGCUAAGACUUAUUAUCAAGGGCGACAUACAUUUUCGAAGAAUAAAGGUCAUUGUGAAUAUAAUAUACAUUUAAACAGUUAGUAGAUAAUCGGUAAAUAGAGUUAUGCAUACAAUAACUGCAGAUUUAUGACGGACCUUAUACACUCUUCUUGGCUUCGGAGCCAUUUCAUUACGCCCUCUGGACAUCUAUCGGUACGCACAUUUCUACGGACUGUCAGCACAGCCAAUUCAUUUAAUUGAUUUUAAAUUAACAAAAUCUCUAUUAAUUAAGUACGUAUUGUUUGUACGGCGUCCUAAUUUUCAAUUAUAAGUACCACUGAAAUCGUAUUCUCCGUGUACGUUUUGAUUCCCUUUAAAGUCGAGAACGAUCGUUCGUGCGUAGUAAUUGAUAUAGUAAUUAGUACUCAUACUUGAAUAAUAAAAAAAAAAAAUGCAUAUAUAAAUCCUUAUUAUGUAAAUCCAGUGCACCGAUCUGCAGUCUUAGGUAUGUAAAACGUGAUUUGACCACGAUGACGGCGAGGGCGGUCGGGAAUCGGGUCACGUUUUAUCUACCUGCUUCGUAAAUAAUAUUUUGGUAAAUUUUAUUACCCGGGUAUCCGGCCACAAAUGUAUAACAAAAAAAUAUAUAAUUUUAAAUAUAUUAAAAUAUAUACCUAAUAUAAAAUUAGUCAAAUAAUUAUUUAUUUAUUUUUUGAAAUAAUGUGAUACAGAUUGCUUUGCAUAGUAUUCAAAAGUGCCGUCAACAUACGUCGAUUAUAACGAACAUAAGAAAUUUAAAUUUGUAGUUAGUUUGUAUUCUAACGAUUCGUAUGGUCCUUUUAAUGGCGUUGGUUUUUCACAGAGUUCCUAAAUAAUAACACGCGUGUAAUAAUGCGGUCUAGGACAAUUUAUUGUCGUCGCAGUUUUAACGUAAAGCCACUUCGUUGUUGUUAAAAAAAAAAUAAUAAUAAAAAAUACCCGAUUAAAAACAAUCCAAUUCCAGAUAUGCGUAAUACAGUUAGUAUAAUAUUUUGUUACGAAGAUAAUAACAUCUAUUGUAUUCAUGUAGGCGUGCGCAGGAUUCUCAAUCAGCUGCAGUAUAAAUUGUAGCAUAUAUCAAUAAGUACCUAAGUAGUGAGUAGGUACCUCUGAAUGAGAAUAUGUUUUUUUUUUAACAAAUAAAUUUUCAUGAAAUAUACCGCUAAUUU
Non-coding RNA from Cinara cedri, 1829 nucleotides. NCBI's taxonomy places the organism in Eukaryota, Metazoa, Arthropoda, Insecta, Hemiptera, Aphididae. The record is from the annotation of a GenBank genome assembly.